Molecule: long non-coding RNA, 1069 nt
Filed under: Salmo salar (Atlantic salmon)
Lineage: Eukaryota; Metazoa; Chordata; Actinopteri; Salmoniformes; Salmonidae
Description: lncRNA (ENSSSAG00000091682.1)
Source: RNAcentral
CGCCAACCCAGACAGGAAGACCACGUCAGUGACUCAACCCACUCAAGUGAUGCACCCCUCCCAGGGAUGGCAUGGAAGAACACCAGUAAGCCAGUGACUCAGCCCUGUCACUGUGCUACAGGUUAGUGUCUGUCUGUGUCACUGUGCUACAGGUUACUGUGUCUAUGUCACUGUGCUACAGGUUAGUGUGACUCUAUGUCACUGUGCUACAGGGUAGUGGGUGUCUAUGUCACUGUGCUACAGGGUAGUGUGUUUAUGUCACUGUGCUACAGGGUAGUGUGUUUAUGUCACUGUGCUACAGGGUAGUGUGUUUAUGUCACUGUGCUACAGGGUAGUGUGUUUAUGUCACUGUGCUACAGGUUAGUGUGUCUCUAUGUCACUGGGCUACAGGUUACUGUGUCUAUGUCACUGUGCUACAGGGUAGUGGGUGUCUAUGUCACUGUGCUACAGGGUAGUGUGUUUAUGUCACUGUGCUACAGGGUAGUGUGUUUAUGUCACUGUGCUACAGGGUAGUGGGUGUCUAUGUCACUGGGCUACAGGGUAGUGUGUUUAUGUCACUGUGCUACAGGGUAGUGUGUUUGUCACUGUGCUACAGGUUAGUGUGUUUGUCACUGUGCUACAGGUUACUGUGUCUAUGUCACUGUGCUACAGGGUAGUGUGUGUCUAUGUCACUGUGCUACAGGUUAGUGUGUGUCUAUGUCACUGUGCUACAGGUUAGUGUGUGUCUAUGUCACUGUGCUACAGGUUAGUGUGUCUCUAUGUCAUUGUGCUACAGGUUAGUGUGUUUAUGUCACUGUGCUACAGGUUAGUGUGUGUCUCUGUCACUGUGCUGUCAUGACGUUGGCCUGUGGGUAAGGUUUAUGACCCCCCAUAAAUACCUUUCUCCCUUCCCCUCUCUCUCUGACCCUACUGAAGGACUUGAAUAGCCUGUGUUAACCUCUAUGGGCUAGUUGGAACGCUAGCGUGCCACCCGUGGUGCACUCCAUCAACAGCAGGUGCAUUUCAAGAGCGGCAAAUUUGAAUCCAAAUAAAUGUCAAAAUUCAAAUUUUUCAAACAUACAACUAUUUU